CCAACGUGGCGUGAAAUAAGAAAAGUUUUUUUUUCAUUCUCUUGUUAGCGAAGAGAUAAAAACAAAACUGGAAAAGAAUACUGGAAUAUGGAAGAAUUCCUGUGAUGCCGUACGACAACCAUACGAUAUACAAGUGUAUGAUGAUUUUGUUAUCAAAGAAAAUACUGGGAUAUUACGAUGUCAUAUACCGAGUUUU
Non-coding RNA from Dermatophagoides farinae (American house dust mite), 196 nucleotides. NCBI's taxonomy places the organism in Eukaryota, Metazoa, Arthropoda, Arachnida, Sarcoptiformes, Pyroglyphidae. The record is from RefSeq and is a predicted model, not a curated record.